CAGCCGCCGCGGUAAUACGAAGGGGGCUAGCGUUGCUCGGAAUGACUGGGCGUAAAGGGCGCGUAGGCGGCGGCCAAAGUCAGGCGUGAAAUUCCCGGGCUCAACCUGGGGGCUGCGUUUGAUACUUGGUUGCUUGAGUGGGGAAGAGGGUCGUGGAAUUCCCAGUGUAGAGGUGAAAUUCGUAGGUAUUGGGAAGAACACCGGUGGCGAAGGCGGCGACCUGGUCCUUUACUGACGCUGAGGCGCGAAAGCGUGGGGAGCAAACAGGAUUAGAUACCCCUGUAGUCCCUGUCUCUUAUAA
RNAcentral lists this ribosomal RNA (301 nucleotides) under uncultured bacterium. RNAcentral describes it as "partial 16S ribosomal RNA". It matches the Rfam family "Bacterial small subunit ribosomal RNA", at positions 509 to 809 of the family's 1533-position model. The record is from RNAcentral.